GUCGAGAAUUUUUCACAAUGGGCGAAAGCCCGAUGGAGCGACGCCGCGUGGGGGAUGAAUGGCUUCGGCCCGUAAACCCCUGUCAUUUGCGAGCAAUUCCCCGGUGUUAACAGCCCCGGGGUUGAUAGUAGCGAAAGAGGAAGGGACGGCUAACUCUGUGCCAGCAGCCGCGGUAAUACAGAGGUCCCAAGCGUUGUUCGGAUUUACUGGGCGUAAAGGGUGCGUAGGUGGUGGGGUAAGUUUGGUGUGAAAGCUUCGGGCCCAACCCGAAAACGGCAUCAAAUACUAUUCCGCUCGAGGGUUGAAAAGGGGACUGGAAUUCUCGGUGUAGCAGUGAAAUGCGUAGAUAUCGAGAGGAACACCAGUGGCGAAGGCGGGUCCCUGGGCAACUCCUGACACUGAGGCACGAAAGCUAGGGGAGCAAACAGGAUUAGAAACCCCUGUAGUCC
Molecule: ribosomal RNA, 449 nt
Filed under: uncultured bacterium
Lineage: Bacteria
Description: bacterial SSU rRNA
Rfam family: Bacterial small subunit ribosomal RNA
Source: RNAcentral